This 444-nucleotide long non-coding RNA is filed under the name Chrysolophus pictus (golden pheasant). Its description in RNAcentral is "lncRNA (ENSCPIG00010009746.1)". Lineage: Eukaryota; Metazoa; Chordata; Aves; Galliformes; Phasianidae. The record is from RNAcentral.
CUCCGCCCCGAGCGGCUCCCGCACAUCGUACGGGGCGGGUCUGUCGCUUUCGGCGCCGGGAAGGCGUUCCCGAGGACCGCGGCGACGGUAGGGAGCCGUUGGAAGGGGCGUUUGUGAGCUGGUCUGUUUGCUGCGUGUUCUCACAGCGCUGCGGUGGGCGGCGUGCGGCCGUCAGGUUCCUGCUGCACGUACCAGACAUUACCACAUCCAUCACCCAGCCCUGCUAGGAGGAGGGCUUGUGCUGUCGUGGAGCUUGUGGAAGAAAUGGCAUUUCCCCUUUGCUUCUUUCAAAGCACAGGUUUUCUUGCAUCCUCAUGAUGAAGUUGGCACAGUGCCAUGUGCUGUUAUCCUGGUCCUCGUGGGGACUUGCUGCUCCUGGUGCAGAGUGACUUCCUUUUAGCCCACCAGCAUCCCAGAUAAUGUCCAAUAUAAUCUGUUGCCUGU